UACGAAGGGGGCUAGCGUUGCUCGGAAUCACUGGGCGUACAGGGUGCGUAGGCGGGUCUUUAAGUCAGGGGUGAAAUCCUGGAGCUCAACUCCAGAACUGCCUUUGAUACUGAGGAUCUUGAGUACGGGAGAGGUGAGUGGAACUGCGAGUGUAGAGGUGAAAUUCGUAGAUAUUCGCAAGAACACCAGUGGCGAAGGCGGCUCACUGGCCCGUAACUGACGCUGAGGCACGAAAGCGUGGGGAGCAAACAGG
This 253-nucleotide ribosomal RNA is filed under the name uncultured bacterium. RNAcentral describes it as "partial 16S ribosomal RNA". It matches the Rfam family "Bacterial small subunit ribosomal RNA", at positions 524 to 776 of the family's 1533-position model. The record is from RNAcentral.